AGGUUAAUAGCUCAGUGGUAGAGCACAUGUUUAGCACAUGCAUGAGGUCCUAGGUUCAAUCCCUGGUACCUC
This 72-nucleotide transfer RNA is filed under the name Camelus bactrianus (Bactrian camel). It matches the Rfam family "tRNA". From Rfam's summary of the family: Transfer RNA (tRNA) molecules are approximately 80 nucleotides in length. Their secondary structure includes four short double-helical elements and three loops (D, anti-codon, and T loops). Further hydrogen bonds mediate the characteristic L-shaped molecular structure. tRNAs have two regions of fundamental functional importance: the anti-codon, which is responsible for specific mRNA codon recognition, and the 3' end, to which the tRNAs corresponding amino acid is attached (by aminoacyl-tRNA synthetases). tRNAs cope with the degeneracy of the genetic code in two manners: having more than one tRNA (with a specific anti-codon) for a particular amino acid; and 'wobble' base-pairing, i.e. permitting non-standard base-pairing at the 3rd anti-codon position. RNAcentral also lists the same sequence under 3 other names. Lineage: Eukaryota; Metazoa; Chordata; Mammalia; Artiodactyla; Camelidae. The record is from Rfam by way of RNAcentral.